Molecule: long non-coding RNA, 1129 nt
Organism: Formica exsecta
Lineage: Eukaryota; Metazoa; Arthropoda; Insecta; Hymenoptera; Formicidae
Exons: 2
Source: RefSeq, a predicted model, not a curated record
GGCGGCGGCGGCGAUGGUGGCGACGGUGGCGAUGGUAGUGACAGCAGCGACGAAGGCGGUAGUGGCUGCAACUUUACUCGCGAUUACGUUUACACCGUUGCGCGCAACUGCAUCGAACGAUAUGCGGACGCGGCACGCGCGAAGAGAUCAUUUGGAUUAAAUUUAGUUUGCGUAGGCACUUUCACGUAAUUGAGAACCGAAGAAUGAGACAGAUAAAUAGACACAUAGAUUCUUCCUUUUCUUCUUCUUGUUUUAUUUGAAUCUCCGUCCGUUGAACAAAGUAACACGUCAAAACACUGAUUUUAUAAAUUAUUUUACUAACGAUAGCGAGAACGAUGACGAGUGACGACGAUAACGAUAAUGGCACUGAUGGUAAUAACAACGAUGAGACUGAUAGUAAUUACGAUGAUAAUGUGUGCGUGAGACGACAACGACGAGUGAAGUUUAAGGCUCGGGCGCAGCGUUUUGAUAUCGUGUAGUGCCUACAUAGCCGUGAUGCAUAAAUUGGACUGUCUCACUGAAAGAGCGGUGCAAUGGUGCAAACUCCACAAAACCGAAACCAGUUUCUUUGCGCCCGCCGUCGGAAUUGCGCCCUAGUCCAAUCCGAUUCAACCGCUCACCUCUCUUCACAGGAUAUACGGGCUCCGCCUUACUCAGGAUCGUCACAAGCACCGAAUCGCCCCGUGCGCUCUGUUUUCAAACCCGACGAAGAUAACUGUCGAACUCAAAGAUCUUCAAAUGUUACUCCGUCUUUUAUUACGCUCUACGGAGAUGCAUAGAAAUAUUUCAUACAUUAGAGUCCAUACAUUUUAAUUAGGUGAAAAUAGAUAAAUAGUAUUUAUGUUUAUGUAUAUUACCUCUUUAAAAAAUUUUCCUUUUUUAAUUUCAUUAUUUUAAGAAUUUGUCAAGCGUUUUAUCCUCUUCUACACAUAAAUGGCUUAACAUAAAAUCUAAAAAUUUGAUAAGGUCUGUAAUAUAUAGAAUCACCGCAUUUUUCUGCAUUAAUUAACUUAAUAUCAUUUUAUAUGUUGUAAUUCGAGCUUCUCAGUCUAAAUUAUUAUCGCAUAUUCGAGAAGAUACUAAGGAAAAUAUAACAUUUUCUGUUACGUUUUAUGUGAAAGUACAAAAA